UACGUAGGGUGCGAGCGUUAAUCGGAAUUACUGGGCGUAAAGCGUGCGCAGGCGGUUGGUUAAGUCUGAUGUGAAAGCCCCGGGCUCAACUUGGGAAUGGCAUUGGAAACUGGCUGGCUAGAGUGUGGCAGAGGGGGGUGGAAUUCCUGGUGUAGCGGUGAAAUGCGCAGAUAUCAGGAGGAACACCUAGUGCGAAGGCAGCUCGCUGGGACGUAACUGACGCUGAGACGCGAAAGCGUGGGGAGCAAACAGG
RNAcentral lists this ribosomal RNA (253 nucleotides) under uncultured bacterium. RNAcentral describes it as "partial 16S ribosomal RNA". It matches the Rfam family "Bacterial small subunit ribosomal RNA", at positions 524 to 776 of the family's 1533-position model. The record is from RNAcentral.